UGAGCAAUGAAGGCUCACAAACCAUGGGCAGAGGGGAAAACCCCCAAAUUUCUUACUCAUAUAUAUCCCUCAACAAUUUCGUACAAAUCUCGGUAUAUCUUGAAGAUUCUUUGUUUUCCCUUGUGUUUCUCAGCGAAUCACCGGUGAUUUUGGGGCGACCUAGUUCUGGCAUCCUCCGCCGCGCUGAUGGAGGAGAAGCUCUGACGCGGCACUGAAUUCCGACGCAGCCAUGGCC
Molecule: long non-coding RNA, 235 nt
Filed under: Salvia miltiorrhiza (redroot sage)
Lineage: Eukaryota; Viridiplantae; Streptophyta; Magnoliopsida; Lamiales; Lamiaceae
Description: long non-coding RNA (SMIL_LNC001648)
Source: RNAcentral